AAUAGGCAGGUAUGGAAGGUAUAUAGUUUAUCUGUGACAGGUCAGUGUUUUAAAGGAAGAAGGUAAUCCACAUAAGUCAUUGCUCCCUCUUUGCCUUUCUGGUGAGUUCUGUGUUUUGGGUGAAGUGGAAUAGCUCAGAAAAGCACGAGUGAGGAAUUCCCCAUGCAGGGAUGCUGCUCAGCUGAGUUUGUAGCAUUCUGCUCCCACACUCAUGGUCUGCUGUUAGUGACAUUGUAUAUUGUUGCAACUUUAUAGGAAGUAAAGAAAAGGAACACCAGACCUUGACACUGUGGAUGUCCUCAGAGCACAUGAACUAGACUGGACUCUGCAAAAAAAGAAGGCAGUGGGACUUACUGCUGAAUGAACAUCAUCUGCUACAAACAA
This is a long non-coding RNA of Pezoporus occidentalis (night parrot), 384 nucleotides long. RefSeq lists it as uncharacterized. NCBI's taxonomy places the organism in Eukaryota, Metazoa, Chordata, Aves, Psittaciformes, Psittacidae. The record is from RefSeq and is a predicted model, not a curated record. The transcript has 3 exons.